Molecule: small nuclear RNA, 99 nt
Filed under: Vulpes vulpes (red fox)
Lineage: Eukaryota; Metazoa; Chordata; Mammalia; Carnivora; Canidae
Source: RNAcentral
GUGCUGGCUUUGGCAGCACAUAUACUAGAACUGGAAUGAUGAUUAGCUCGGCUCCUGUGUAGAGAUGACAUGCAAAUUCAUAAAGUGUUCCAUAAAAAA